CCUACGGGAGGCUGCAGUAGGGAAUCUUCCACAAUGGGCGAAAGCCUGAUGGAGCAACGCCGCGUGGGUGAAGAAGGUCUUCGGAUCGUAAAACCCUGUUGUUAGAGAAGAAAGUGCGUGAGAGUAACUGUCCACGAUUCGACGGUACCUAACCAGAAAGCCACGGCUAACUACGUGCCAGCAGCCGCGGUAAUACGUAGGGGGCAAGCGUUAUCCGGAUUUAUUGGGCGUAAAGGGAACGCAGGCGGUAUGUUAAGUCUGAUGUGAAAGCCCUGGGCUUAACCGGGGUAGUGCAUUGGAAACUGGGAGACUGGAGUGCAGGAGAGGAGAGUGGAACUCCAGGUGUAGCGGUGAAAUGCGUAGAUAUAUGGAAGAACACCAGUGGCGAAGGCGACUCUCUGGUCUAUAACUGACGCUGAGGUUCGAAAGCGUGGGUAGCAAACAGGAUUAGAUACCCUAGUAGUC
This 465-nucleotide ribosomal RNA is filed under the name uncultured bacterium. Its description in RNAcentral is "partial 16S ribosomal RNA". It matches the Rfam family "Bacterial small subunit ribosomal RNA", at positions 338 to 795 of the family's 1533-position model. The record is from RNAcentral.